RNAcentral lists this ribosomal RNA (248 nucleotides) under uncultured Anaerolineaceae bacterium. RNAcentral's name for it is "partial 16S ribosomal RNA". It matches the Rfam family "Bacterial small subunit ribosomal RNA", at positions 796 to 1041 of the family's 1533-position model. The record is from RNAcentral. Lineage: Bacteria; Bacillati; Chloroflexota; Anaerolineae; Anaerolineales; Anaerolineaceae.
CUAGCCCUAAACGAUGUAGACUAGACGUCGGCGGUGUAAUAGCUGUCGGUGUCCAAGCUAACGCGAUAAGUCUACCGCCUGGGGACUACGGCCGCAAGGUUAAAACUCAAAGGAAUUGACGGGUCCCCGCACAAGCAGCGGAGCGUGUGGUUUAAUUCGUUGCUACACGAAGAACCUUACCUGGGUUUGACAUAACAGUGGUAGGGAAGAGAAAUCGGACCGCCCCUUCGGGGAGCUGUUACAGGUGU